Molecule: ribosomal RNA, 473 nt
Filed under: uncultured bacterium
Lineage: Bacteria
Description: SSU rRNA
Rfam family: Bacterial small subunit ribosomal RNA
Source: RNAcentral
AGGACGAACGCUGGCGGCGUGCUUAACACAUGCAAGUGGAGCGACGAACCAGGGCUUGCCCUGGGGCAGAGCCGCGAACGGGUGAGUAACACGUGGGUUACCUGCCUCGAUGACCGGGACAACCCGAGGAAACUCGGGCUAAUACCGGAUGUGCCCGCAAGGGGAAAGGAAGCUUCGGCCUCCGCAUUGAGAUGGGCCCGCGGCCCAUUAGCUUGUUGGUGGGGUAACGGCUCACCAAGGCUUCGAUGGGUAGCCGGCCUGAGAGGGGCGCGACGGACCGACGACCUGGAACUGAAACACGGUCCAGACUCCUACGGGAGGCAGCAGUGGGGAAUUUUGCGCAAUGGGGGAAACCCUGACGCAGCAACGCCGCGUGGAGGAUGAAGCCCCUUGGGGUGUAAACUCCUUUCGAUCGGGACGAUUAUGACGGUACCGGAUGAAGAAGCACCGGCUAACUCUGUGCCAGCAGCCGC